This is a non-coding RNA of Anas platyrhynchos (mallard), 4917 nucleotides long. The record is from RefSeq and is a predicted model, not a curated record. NCBI's taxonomy places the organism in Eukaryota, Metazoa, Chordata, Aves, Anseriformes, Anatidae.
GUGCUGACAGCCCUUAACAGCCUCUAACAACACUGCUUGGCCUCACCUGGGCCCUCUCCCAGCCACCAUUUUAUCUCAGCCCAGGGUUAGGCCUUAUGCCCUUGUCUCUAAGGUGUCUAUAUCUUGGUGGACCUUGGAUCACCCCUGUUUUCGCAAUUCUGUGCCUAGAAGCUUCUUUCUGUGUUGUUGUGCUAUCCUGCUGUGGGGAUGAGCUCAUUGCCUGGCUUGUGCUGCUGCCUUGCUGAGCCUGUGUCCCUGACCUGCUGUGGCUGGAAAAUUGUUAAUUUGAACUUUCAAAUGGCUUCAGCAUAUGUUCCUGCAGUCUGCUGCAUGAGUGCUCUCCUCCUAUCCAGAAAGGACGGGCUUGGCAAGCAGAUCAAGAUGGUUCUCAGAGUAAGGCUUCUAGUAAUGCGUUGACAACUUCCACUCACCACAGCACUUGACUUGCCAUGUGCACAUCUCUUGUGUGGGGUGUGUGGCUCAUGGUAUUUUUGGAACAGCUACUUCCUAAGACUUGUGCAAACUUCUCCAACGUGCUUUUCAGGAAUCUAGCAUCACACUUUGCUUUGGGGUACAUCCAGUUGGGUAAAGUGGAACCCAGUGGUGAGUUGUAUCCUACUCCAAACAGCCAGAGUUUCUUGUGGUUUUCUGGUUCCAAAGCUGAAUAACUGCCUUCUAAUGAUGAGAUUUUUCUUACACUUUGAAUAUAGUACAUGAACAAAAGGAUUCAGUUGCCUAAACAUUGGUCAAUUGUGCAGAAGCUGAGUAUUGAAGAUAAUGCAUUCCCUUACAGUACACUUUUUUUCUGCCACUGGUUCUUUCUAACACAUUCAGACACAGAAUCAUCAAGUGGCUAAUAGAGAUAGUAUCAAUAGUGCUACGUGAGGAUCUUUCAUCACACAGGAUAUUUAAACAAAGAGCCUUCAAGGGACUGACUGGGUCAAACACCACUGAAGAUCAUUGAACACAGCACUUGUGACAUAGAAACAGAAUUGUAGAGCUGGUAAUGUGCUGAAUGUUGAGCAGCGUGUGAUCAGGACAUGAUUUUUCUGGGAAGAAUACGUCUUAUGAGCUGAAGGAGUAGCCAAUAACUGAAAGAAUGCACUAAAAUCAGGCUAAAGGGUCUUACCUUCUGAGAUUGUUCUUCUGCUUCAGAGAAUGAUACCACUAAGGUGGGUUACUCUGUUUUAGGAUCAAUAUACAGAAAACUGCCUAAUAUGUUGACAGCUUACUAAGUCAUUGGUCUAAAGACAUGUGAGAUGUCACAAAGAUUAGCAUCUUGAAAGACUAACCCCUAAACUUGUACAGCUGUGUAUUACAGUGGAACAGGCUUGCUUCUAAAGUUUUACACACCUUUUCAAGGAGAAAAACAUUAAUCUUGUUUUUCAACAAUAUUGUGCUAGUCUAUUUCAGACCAUUUAUAAGUUGAGUUAUCUUUUGGGGCUGUAGGAUUCUACAGAGAAUUCCAUGUUUCAUGUGUUAAAUUCAGCACAAAUGCAGGAGCUUCUUUGCAAGAUGUAAAUGUCGUUUCUUUGUUUGCACUGCCUUGAUAGGUAAAGAAAACUUGAAUGUUCGUAUUUGAAACAAACUCAGAGCAAAACUAAAAUUCUAUUAUUAUGCAAGACAAGUACAUAAUUAGUUUCACAGUUGGAGAAUCAAGUCAUAACUGAAGCUAUAUUUCUACUUAAAUUCAGUCAUAAUAUUUUUCUAGAGAAGGUGUGAAAAAGGCAAGAGGAUACAUAAUGGGGUUGAGAUCACAGUACACUGAAAGAACAAUUUAUUCCCAGUCUGGAAAGAUAGAAACUAUUUUGAUUCUUUUCUACCGAAUUGUUUUCCAUCUGCUCAAUAGAUUACAGUGUAAUAUUAUAUUAUGUCCUGUAAUGUGUAUUUAUGUAAUUAUUAUUAAUCAUACUAUAUUAUUUAGCAUAUCAAAUUGCAUUGUAAUUACUUUCUUCCUGAUACUCUGAAGAAAACAUCAGGGUGAUAUUUGACUCCCUAAAAGUGGAAUAAAUGGAGCUAGUUAUCUUUUCAGCAUAAUCAGGUGACUUCCUCCUCCUGACUUGAAAUAACUGCAAGGCCCGGCCAGAAGCCAGUGAUUAUUUAAUAUUUUAGUCUCUUCAGUGCAGUAGGGUAUUCCACUUGAUAUCUACAGAAUGUUGCAGAAGAAAACAAUUCCAGUCUGCUUUUGUUCUUAUCGGCUACUGAAAAUGUAUGCUUGUUUCAUUUUUAAAUGCAGCACUUCAUAUGCUCCCCCAAGCAGGUGAUAUGAACAAAGCCAGCAGUUUGGACCUACAUAAAUCAAAUGCGAACAACUUCUGUGAAGGGUGUGACAAAAUGCUAUCAAAAAAAAGUAUGUGGGUGGGAGAUAAACUGCUCUUAAGCCUCACAGCACAAAUUAGGUGUGGACUUACUUUACAAAGGAAACACAGAAGCAAUGAGUUAACUGUUGUAUACCCUGUAGUGAAUUCAGCUAGUAACACUUGAACUGUGAUUGCAGCAUGGUGCUGACUUUCCUUCUAAAAACAGUCUGUCAGAUACAUCUGCUGCAUCUGUACAUUCAUUGUCAGUUUGAUGGCCUCAUUCUGCACUCUUCCUGUAUGAGGAGGUUUUUAAAUAUAAGCUGGCUAGGCUUGUGUAGAAGAGAUGCAGAUUCAGGAAUGGAAAUAGCGGUGAUCCCUGACAAGAAUAUGUCAACAUCGUAAUGAGAAAUUCUUUAGGUUUUGCUGGGCCUAGAUUUAGACUAGGUCCAUCUGCAAAAGUUUUGCAUCUCUGUUAUGGGGCCUGCACUUGUUCUUGUUUCUCAAGACAAGGUGCUUAUAGGUGAGGGGAUGUCUCUGACCACUGAGCAAUGAGAGGUCAUUUUAUAGAAACUGCCAGUGUCCAGCCAGCAGUGCGGUAUUUGUGGGAUUGAGAGAAGCACCAGGCAAAAGAGUUUUUGCCUAGCAAAGGGGGAUCUUGGUUAAAAACUGAAGGCUUUGCUUUGAGGAGCAGGCUUUCAGAACUUGUUAUGUGUCUUAUUAAAUAGCUACUGGAUUAAAAAUCAGAAACGCUCCUGAAAUCAGAACCCAGAACUCUGGCCUCCUUUUUUGCAAUCUUGUAGUUGGGAUGAGGAGAAGAUAAUCCCCCUGCUCUAGCCUCAUCCUCUGUACUUUGUGCAGAACCAGAGCACAGCUGCGUGCCGUAUGCUUCUGGGUCAGGACUUGAGUGCUCCAAUUAAACUGUCUGACUUGGCAGCACUCCUCAUCUCUCUGUCAAGAUGUGUCCCAGGAGCUUUCCAGAUCCAUGCGGAAACCUAGGCACAAGGAAAGGAGAUCUGGGCAAACAGGCUGGUGGUAGCUGCAGAGUGUGCCAGCCAUGUCCUGGCUCUGGGCUUGCUUGGGUCUGAGUUGCAGCUGUGCCUUGGACAGCACGGCCCACACAGCUCCAAAGAGAGACUCAGGCUUCUGAGUUAGCUUUGAGUAGUUAUGAAACAACUGGCAUCUUGGGUUCAGGCCCUUUUGAUAGGGGCAAAAAAGACAUGUCAAUAAAGGAGAGGCUUUUGGGUGUUUGAUUCUUUCAAAGGAUCAAGCCUUCAACUGUCAUGAUUCUUUUCUCAUAUCAGAGAAUUGGAAGCAGUUCAGUCUAGUUCUUUAGGUAAUGCAUUUUGUGGAUUGCUAUGGUGUGUGUGUUUGCAUCCCAUACUGGGAUGCAAAUAUUUACAUGAACAUACAUGUAAAAAGAAGUGUCGUUAAAAGAGUAGGCUCAAGAAAUUAGAGAUGAAAUAUCAAUCCUUUUUUAUCAAAUGAUAAUUAAUUUCCCUUCUAGAACUUGGAUUUAACUGAUUAUAAAUGCAUUUUACUCUAAGGACUAAUUUAGCAACUGGGUCAGUGGCUACAAUACCAACCUCAUCAGUUAUAUGAUGGAUAAAGGCAUCUGACACUACCUUUGCUUUUUGAAAGGUUUCCAGCAGUUUCUUCUGUCAUGUUGCGACUGCAUUCGAUCCGUAGCUUUCAAAAACAAUAAAACAUGUAAUGACUUUGUAGUUGAUAAUGCUGCAUAUUUAUCAAGAACAGAAAACUCUUCCCUGAAGCAUAAUACUUCAAUUUAUUGUUAUUCAGAGUAAUAGUAUUUCUGUACAAUAAUUUAUUAAAGUUGGCAUAAAUGAAGAAUGACCUAUAAGUAGAAAAUCUGGGGUGGGUAAAGCAUCUAAUUGCUUCUUUGUAAUGUGGAUAAGAAUACUAUGUUUCCUGAACCAUUUAAAUGGCAAAGUAUUAUUCUCUUUGAAAUUGCAUUCUAUAACAAGCAGUAUUAAUGUUAAUAAGCUUUUAAUUACAAAAAUUAAUUGUAGUGCAUGUGCACUAAAUAUUUGCACCACAAAUAAGAAUCUGGCUGUGGUUGAGCCAGGUGUAGACAGACAGUUUACUAGCUUUCUACAUGCAGUUGUCAGUGUAGGUUAAUCCAGGCCUGACACAAUCCUCAGAUUCACUCUAGGGCCCCUCAGCACAGACUACGCUUGUUAUGAAUGCUGUCAGAUAGUCUGAUGGAUUUGUUUGUGGUGUAACACCAUCGCUGAAUUGAGCAGAAGCUGCCACUUCAUACUAGCUUGUGAACAUGAAGCAAUUCUUCAGAAAAUAAAUAUAUAAAUAAAAAGGGGGGGGGGGGGGGGGGAGGGAAAGAAACAAAAACAAACAAAAUACCCACUAAUCUACUUUAAAAAAAAAAAAGAUGCUUAUGUCAGUCAUUCAUAGGUGAAAGAUCAUGUUAUCCAAAUUCAAAAACUGCAAACACUAAUUUUUAUUUAGUGAAACCAAUGAAGUAAUCGAUGGAGUUAACUGCAUCAUUAUAAACAAAGUACAGCCUUAAAUGAUGUGACUAUGCAAUGUAUUAGAAUACUGUACAUAUAUUUCAAAUAAAUUCAAGUUUAUUUUUGUGCAGGUA